This 2096-nucleotide unclassified non-coding RNA is filed under the name Melitaea cinxia (Glanville fritillary). Its description in RNAcentral is "misc RNA ENSMCXG00005021926.1". The record is from RNAcentral. Lineage: Eukaryota; Metazoa; Arthropoda; Insecta; Lepidoptera; Nymphalidae.
CCGAUUUCUACCGAUUUUUCGGAGCUAAAUAUACCGAUUUUUUAUUUUACACUUUUGCAACACUGCCUAACGGCAACACUGGUCUAAAACCAUGCCAUCGUUUACGGACGAGGCUACGUUUAUUAAGCUUGGUGUUUUUAACUUGUUUUUAAGGUACAUAAUGAACAUUGGUGGAGUCCGUGGAGCCAUUCUAAUCCAUACGUAAGGUGACAUGACGCUUAUCAACAUAGGCUUAGUGUUAACGUGUGGCUGGUGUUUUAAUUAACUGUCUGUCAGGUCCGUAUUUCAUUGCAAGAAGACUCGUGUGUGUCAUAUUUAGACAUUUUAAAUAAUGCUAUGAACGAUAUGCUCGAUGAUGUACCACUGAGUAAUCACCAAAACUUAUUUUUGCAACUAACUAUCAGACGAAAGCUCAGAGAUCGCUGGAUAGGGCGCAGAGAGCCUGUGCCAUGGCCAGCUCGGUCUCCAGAUCUCAUGCCACUGGACCUUCCCUACUAUUACAAUGUACUCUGUAACCAUGGAUAUCUCCAUAACCAUGGGGUUUCGAAGUGUUGCGGUGUUACCUUGUAUAGCUUCCCCUACACCCUCCGCCCUCCACACCCAAAAACCCAAAAAUUCGGUUUUUCCUACUCUUGAGCUUAGCCUGUAAACGUGCGGAACUGCGUAUCACACGAGAAGGAACUCACUUUGAACAUUUGUUAAGGUGUGCUGACUACAUACAAUCACUGCAUGCUAAGAAAACAUGUCUGCAAUGCAAUGCCAUCACCACCACACACCAUGUGAAACGAAUAUACAUGUGAAACAUAGUACUUAUAACUGAUGACUGUAAUACCUCUUUUAUAUGAUAUAGUACUUAUAACUCAGUUUAUGACUGUAAUACCUCUUUUAUAUGUUAUUUGUACAUACAGAGUGUAUACAAGCGAGAGGUAUUAAAUUAAAUCACAUACACUACAUACUGUUUGUAUCACAAAAACGAGUAAUUGAAAAUAAUUGUUAACUACAGGCUUAAAAAAAUUUGAUCUUGAUAAAUAAAAGUAUUAUAUCAGUGAUUAAUGAUUUGAAUAAGAUAUAAAAAUGUAGGUAUAUUGAUUAUUUAAAUAUAAAUUAUAAAUGGUAUAUAGAUACAUGGUAUGGUUGUAUACUAUACAUAAUUCAAUGCCUUUUGUGUAACAUUUUUUGUCAGCCAUAAUAUAACAAAUAUUGUUUGUAUAUGUAUUUUAUAAGAAAUGAUAAGAUGGCAUUUUACUCGAUCUUACACCUUGAUCUAUUUAUUAUUAAACACCUAAAGAUUAAGUGAAAUAUUAAAAAUGACGAAGAUGAAAAAAAACAAGUGUUAUGUAAAUUAUUGAAAGAUAAUUUUAGGUUUUGCGUAUUUUAAAAUAGUAUUUUUAGUCGCGUUAGCGCAACGGCCAAAGUACUCGACCCGGGGAGGGGGGGAGCAACUAUCGUACUUGUUCUCCCGGUAUAUCCGGCGAGUGGCUCGAGAAGGGCGGAGAAUAUGUUUGGCCCGAGAAGCGAAGAUGUUGGGCGGUGUUAUUUGUGUCUCGGGAGCAAAUAGCUCCGAUGCGGAGAUGAGGUCGAGGUCGCCAUUCGACUCUGACUCAUCGCGCUGUAGUGGGAGAUUCUGGAGGAAACGCUAGCGUGAAGUGGAUGACGGCACGUCUUAGGCGGACAGCGAUGACGCUGCCAGUAAGGUGUCCACCGCAUGGAUAGGUCCCGGCCGCCCAUCCACGACUUGGCAUUACAUUAGCCUCGCAAGGGCCCUAGAAAAAGAAUGUAGGGGUCCUGAGGUGAGCUCUCGCUAGCUUUACACCGGCGUCGGGAGGGCGAUGGCGAUGUGCGGUUUUCCCGUCUAGGCCGACGCCCUUGAUUGCGAAAACGUCGCUUUGUCUAAUAAACCUAAUCGACACAAAAGUUGUAAACAAAAACUUUUAUCUAAAACAGCAUGUUCACAAAUAAAAUCCUUUAGGGAUAUAAGUUUAAUUUAACCUUGGUAUCAUUAAAUACAAAAUAUUGUAAUGAAUGCAUCUAGACCUACGGUUAGAACAUAAAAUUAAUAAGAAACAUAAAUGAGUUUUAUUUAAUCUUGGUAUUAA